CAACAACAAACCCAGUGUAUUCCCACCUGGUGGGGUCUGGGGGGGUAGGAUGUACACAGUCCAUACCUCUACCUCUGAAGAAGUAGAAAGGCUGUUUCCGAUAGACCCCCGGCUCAAGACACGCGGUACCACACAAACACAUAGUAAAGCACAGCACAAGGUUACAAGAUUACAUAACAUAAAUACGGCACCCAUAAGUAAUCUAAAACA
Molecule: long non-coding RNA, 210 nt
Filed under: Capsicum annuum
Lineage: Eukaryota; Viridiplantae; Streptophyta; Magnoliopsida; Solanales; Solanaceae
Description: long non-coding RNA (CANN_LNC016255)
Source: RNAcentral